Molecule: transfer RNA, 75 nt
Filed under: Bradyrhizobium sp. BR13661
Lineage: Bacteria; Pseudomonadati; Pseudomonadota; Alphaproteobacteria; Hyphomicrobiales; Nitrobacteraceae
Description: tRNA-Phe
Rfam family: tRNA
About the family: Transfer RNA (tRNA) molecules are approximately 80 nucleotides in length. Their secondary structure includes four short double-helical elements and three loops (D, anti-codon, and T loops). Further hydrogen bonds mediate the characteristic L-shaped molecular structure. tRNAs have two regions of fundamental functional importance: the anti-codon, which is responsible for specific mRNA codon recognition, and the 3' end, to which the tRNAs corresponding amino acid is attached (by aminoacyl-tRNA synthetases). tRNAs cope with the degeneracy of the genetic code in two manners: having more than one tRNA (with a specific anti-codon) for a particular amino acid; and 'wobble' base-pairing, i.e. permitting non-standard base-pairing at the 3rd anti-codon position.
Source: RNAcentral
GCUGGAAUAGCUCAGUGGUAGAGCGGCACGUUGAAGCCGUGCGCGUCGGUGGUUCAAGCCCAUCUUCCAGCACCA